Molecule: long non-coding RNA, 2019 nt
Filed under: Numida meleagris (helmeted guineafowl)
Lineage: Eukaryota; Metazoa; Chordata; Aves; Galliformes; Numididae
Description: lncRNA (ENSNMEG00000001204.1)
Source: RNAcentral
UUUUGUUUUCCAUCAGUAAAACUGCAUUUAGGAACCAUUAACUUCAAUGUUCUGGUGUCAACUGAUUGCUUGGGCCUUGUCAAUUGCACUCAGCCUGAUCUACAAAAGGAAUGGUCCCUGAGCUGUUCUUGUGUCCUCUGCACAGUUCCAUAUUGCUCUUAUCAGCAGGAGAAGAGCAUGUUGGUGAACAGUGCUUCAGUCAGCAUGCCUGCAAACAACCUGAUGGGCUUCCUCCUGGUGAGUCUAAAGGAGAGGCUUUGUGCAACAGCUUUCAGCCAGGCUAACUGGUGAUGUCUCUGGGAGCCCCAGUGACCUGCCACCCUUCCAAGCAGGAUCUGCUGAAAUGGGUCUUCCUCUGCUGUCUGUGACCAUCUGGUCCAGCUGGAAAGCCUGCAGUCCCACAGCUGCAGAGAGGGAAGGGAAGGAUAAAGAGACUUAAUAUUACGUACAGAAUUUCUAGCAGAAUUUCUAGGGUUUCCCCACAAAGUCUCUUUGUCUUAUUUUGAUUAUUCAAUCAAUACGAAGUCUGUAUACAAGUGUACAGGAACCAUUAGGUCAUGGCCUGAACAAGUGACUGAGCACCUGGUGAAAGUUGUGGCCAGCCCUGAGAGCACAGGUGCAAGCAAUCUACCUGUGUGACCCAGGGUCCACUCCUCCCUAACCUCAGUUAAGGGCUGACAGCAGAAAGGGAAGUAUCCCUACUUGGAGACUGCCUCCUUUGGGAGUUUCUAAUGAGCCCUGGUCAUUGUAAGGAGUAAGCUAUUCUUUCUUUAUUAUUGAACUGUGACCACUACCUUUCUUGAGUGAUCUGAAACUGGCUAAAGGCAAUGGCCUCCUAUUCUUACAUCAGCCUAUCAUAACACUGCCUUCAAAGUACAGGGGAUCUGUCUUUACCUUUCUUUCAAACUUGGUGUUUCAUGGUUGAUUCAGACAGCCAGAAAACCAGAAAUAUUUCCCUGAACCAUUUUUGCAGCUCCUUGGGAAGAGUCAUGAACAGGAUGUGGGAAAGCCAAAACAAAAAGUGCUUUCUUGAUCCAAAGUCUUUUAUUAGGUCUAAAUUCAGCUUAGGAGUAAGCUGCUGAAAACACUUUAAAUUGUCACCACUCUUUAACAUAUAUAAGCUCACACUAAAUGGUGGCCCAUUAUGACAUUUUGAUGCUGUGCUUUCUACAGCAGAAAGCGCUUAUCAACUCUUGGUACCAUUUAUAAUGAGCAGUGUUUGUGUGUGCUCUUGAGGGUGAAGACAAAAACUAACAGCUUUUAAUUAUCUGGCACUGCUUUGAAUAUGAGAAAUCUGAAAGAGAUGCUAUUUAACAAUAUUUAUUGUAUUAUUUUCCUUAUACUGAGCACUUUCUAAAACAAUGUUCAUUAUAGUAUUCAUUUAAUUUCCAGUGCAGACUGCUGUAAGCCGUUCUGUUAUUUAUUAGUUAAUCACAAACUGCAUAUAUAUGUGAUGAAAUAUUAAUCAAUAUUUCCUUAUUAAAAUACUUCAUUUGAACUGCCUCACAAGGAAAAUUAGGAAACUGUAGUCAUUUCACAGUUUUAAAGUUGUUAUAAAUUUGUUUUAUAAGUGUAGAAGUUACUGGUCUUUAGUAUAAUAUAGUGAUCCUCAAGAGUUUGCUUUGGAAAACUGAACAAUGAUGUAAAAAUCAUAGAAUCAUAUCCUAGAAUCAUAGAUUACAUGAUAGAGUUUUUGAGUAUCACUGUCCAGCCUUGUUCAUUGUAGGGACAUAGGAAGAAACAGUCAUGUAAACAUCUGACUGCUUUCUUAAAUUACAGUUUAAGAAGGCCAAGUGUUACACAGUAUUGAAUGAUGUAUUCUGAGUAUCGUGACAGAUUUUUUUAUUUUAAAUACACAGUACUUAAAGAGUGGUAUGUUUAACAUAAUGUGAAUUGCCAGAAGCUUUAUUUUUAUUACGUUAUUAGAUAUCCAAAUGGGAAAAUGGAGCAGAUUUUAGACUUGCACAGUGGCACCUGCUGUUAGAGAAAUGGAAAUAAAGCAGAAAAAAAUUAAUUGCA